Molecule: long non-coding RNA, 1216 nt
Filed under: Phaseolus vulgaris (common bean)
Lineage: Eukaryota; Viridiplantae; Streptophyta; Magnoliopsida; Fabales; Fabaceae
Description: long non-coding RNA (PVUL_LNC000299)
Source: RNAcentral
GCAAAUGGACGCAUAUUGUGUGGGCCAAACCUACACAAAAUUGACGCAACUUUUGUCAGACUAGCCGACGCAAAACAGACGCAUUUGCGACAGUUUAUGCAUGGACCAAACCGACGCAAAUUAAUAAAAUCGUGUAAGACUUUGCGUGGGCCAUCCCACGCAAAAACUGAUGUAUACAUUUUUUAAUAUAAAAAAAUAAAACUUUGCGUGGGUCAAAAGUCGAUGAAUGAAUUGAAGGAAAAAAAACCUUUAUUUUUUUUUCAAGCCAAUUUUAACCUAUAAACAAUAAAUACCAACAAAAUCACAUUCAAAAUUUAACAUAACAAAUUAGUAUCAUUCAUACCACACUCACAAUACAAAAAUAAUUCAAAUAAACAUCAUUUAGAUAAUUUGAUCAUCCAAAUAUUGAAAGUGGAUAUGAAUACUUAAAAUUAAAGUUGUACUUUACAAUUGAAGUAAAAGUACUAAAGAACUUUAAGGGACAGAGCAAUAAAAUUAAUUAAAAAAUUCUGAAAAGUUUAAAACUUUACUUGUCUAAGAUGACCUUCGUGAAGUAGGAACCAAGACAGAGGCGAUAAAGAAGGCUGAACCUAAAAUGAAAAAUAAGAAAAAGCUUAGAAGAUGAUAAUGACUAACACGUUCACAUAGCAAUAUUCACAGACCAACACAAUCCAAAAAGAGCACCAGCCCAAUAGAGAGCACCAAAGCAAUAAAAUUAAUUAAUUUUUUUUGAAAAGUUUAAAACUUUACCUGUCUAAGUUGACCUUCGUGAAGAAGGAGGCGGAGCAUGACAGAGGCAGUGAACAAGGCUGAACCUGAAAUAAAAAAUAAGGAAAAAACUUAGAGGGGGAACGAAAAUGGAGAAGAAGCAAAAAAGGAAGAUCAAAAUAGAAAAAGAGAAAACAACCAGUGCACAAUGUCGGAACAGUGACGACGACAUGGGGUAGUGGACGACAGCGACAAGCGUAGGAGUGCUAAUGGCGACGACAACAAGCAUAGGAACGCUGACGGUGACGAUGACAAGCGUAGGAGCGCUAACGACAACAAUACAUUGCAACGGAACAAUGGAGUGCAGCGGUGGAGUACAGUGGCGAAAUGCAGCGAUAAAGUGUAGCGACGAACACUGGAGGUAGAGUGAAAGGGAGGGAAAUAAAUUUAGGUUUUUCAAUUUGAGAUUUGGGGAAAACCUUGAGUGGGACAAUAGGGUGAAACUUUU